Molecule: ribosomal RNA, 565 nt
Filed under: Enterococcus asini
Lineage: Bacteria; Bacillati; Bacillota; Bacilli; Lactobacillales; Enterococcaceae
Description: bacterial SSU rRNA
Rfam family: Bacterial small subunit ribosomal RNA
Source: RNAcentral
UUUUAUGAGAGUUUGAUCCUGGCUCAGGACGAACGCUGGCGGCGUGCCUAAUACAUGCAAGUCGAACGCUUUUGUUUUCACCGGAGCUUGCUCCACCGAAAACAAAAGAGUGGCGGACGGGUGAGUAACACGUGGGUAACCUGCCCUCAAGCGGGGGAUAACACUUGGAAACAGGUGCUAAUACCGCAUAACAAUCAGAAUCGCAUGAUUUUGAUUUGAAAGGCGCUUUUGCGUCACUUGAGGAUGGACCCGCGGUGCAUUAGCUAGUUGGUGAGGUAACGGCUCACCAAGGCCACGAUGCAUAGCCGACCUGAGAGGGUGAUCGGCCACACUGGGACUGAGACACGGCCCAGACUCCUACGGGAGGCAGCAGUAGGGAAUCUUCGGCAAUGGACGAAAGUCUGACCGAGCAACGCCGCGUGAGUGAAGAAGGUUUUCGGAUCGUAAAACUCUGUUGUUAGAGAAGAACAAGGGUGAGAGUAGAAUAUUCACCCCUUGACGGUAUCUAACCAGAAAGCCACGGCUAACUACGUGCCAGCAGCCGCGGUAAUACGUAGGUGGCAAG